This 3993-nucleotide long non-coding RNA is filed under the name Triticum aestivum (bread wheat). Its description in RNAcentral is "long non-coding RNA (TAES_LNC021019)". Lineage: Eukaryota; Viridiplantae; Streptophyta; Magnoliopsida; Poales; Poaceae. The record is from RNAcentral.
CAACCACAAACUAGGCACCCGCUCGCGUCAUGAACAACAUGCCAAAAUAGCUGGACGACCAUAGACAGAUGAACAACAUGCCGGACUCACCGGACAACCAUAGUCGGGCUGGGAACAAACAAAAUGGUUCCUCAUUCGCACUGUUACAUGAAUCAACAGAGAAGAACCAGAAAAACUGGGGCAAAUAACAACAUGCUGGACUCGCUGGACAACCAUAGUCGGGCUGGGAACAAACAAAACGGCAACAUGCCUUCAUGGUCGCCCUGUUACAUUAAUCAGUAGAGAAGAAUCAGAAAACUGGGGCAAAUAUAUUAUGAACAGACCAUUCAAGAAAAUGAUAGUUAUUUAUAAUAAUAACACAAACUGAGCUAGUACCAUGCUUUUUGUUCUCCAGCUAGUUAAAAUGAGAUACUCUCAUACAAGAAAGCAGAGAUACAAUAUGAAAGCUAACAGUAGGGAUGCCACAGCUUAAAUGAGCAAGCUAUUUUGUUUUUGAGAAACAAAAAAUGCACCAAUAAUUUUUCAGAAGGUAACAGAACUUCUGUGCACACAUUUAGAUAGAAACAAGGGCUUGAACUAUACACAUUAAUUAGAACAGGAUCGCCAAACACCAAUAUAUGCUAGAAUAAAAAAACACGGAGGUAGUAGUGGUCGUCCAGGGAGAUAAACAUAGAAAAGAAAACAUGAUUUCAGCAAAAUUAAAAUUGUCGGUGUAAGUUGAAUAACAGUGCAGCAGAUUAGCUCUUAGCAUGGAGGAACAUCACCAAAUUAAACCAGAUGGUUGUUCAAGUUUCUAUUUGAGUAUUCAUGGUUACAGUUUGUUAUCAUCGUCUAAAUUCUCCAACAUGUACAAUAUUAAUUAAUACAGCUGAAUAUGCUACCAAUGAAGUAAACUCUAAAAGAUACAGGCAGGGCUUAAUUAACCAACCUUGUCAUUCUAUAAACACAAACCAAACUCAACGAUAAGGUGUACAAUUAUUACCAUAUAACCUAGAAAACAUACCUACUGUCCACACAUUUCAUAAUGUAAACAGGUAAAUACUACAGGAAAUAGAUUGCUAAGCAUUUCUGCCCUUCUUUCAAGCCACCAACAGCAUAACACCCUCAGUAUAACAAGAUCCACACAGACCACCAUCUACAGCAACCGUACCCACAAGACAACCAGGGUCGGAGAGAGUGAGAUUACCUUGGCGCCGUAAAUCUUAGAAGACAAAUCGUGUGCGAGGAAGUCCUUGUCGUCCACCGCCAAGCAGCAGGAUGCUCCCGCCGAGCCUACAGAAAGUUUUGCAUAUAGUUAGAAAACCUGGAAACAUACAGCAUGGCUACCACAACGUAGCAUUGAAGGAAAAAAAACUAAGAGCAUGUAACUGAACCUCCUGCAGCUCUAGCCUCUAGCAUGCACCCGAGCAACCUAUGCUUUCUCUGUCUCUUGGUCGUGACUGCAGAAAGAAAGCAACAAUUUUACCAUCCUGCAGUUGCCUCAAGUAGAUGGAAAGCUCAAUAUGUAUGAGUAAGGAUAAUUUGCCUCCAGAAGUAGUGACUAGAUUCAUAGAAAACAGAACAAUAAAGUCAUGCCAUGACCAAAUCCGAACCAGAAUGCAUUUAAUAAAAUGGAUUGCAUCUGGCUGCUGUAAUAGUGUAUAUAUACACAUACACAACUUGCUCCAUUUUGACUAAUGACGUCAAAGGAACCAUGUAAAAAAUUGAACCAGAGGCAUACAUACACGAACCCUUUUCUUGCACAUAUGGAUGUGCUAACGCUACAACUAACAUUAAAGCAGAAUAUAUAUCCAUGUUAUAACAGUAAAUAAAUAUACAUAGAUACAGAAACUUAUCAUACAGUUUGUGGUACCCACUUCUAGGAUGAGCUUGUGAACAAGAACUGGGGCAUCUAUAAUGAUAUGAUAGUCCAAUUUCAACAGACUCUGCACUGGAGCCCAAAACAGCAAUGACCACAUUGGAAUGUGUUUCGCUGGAACCUUACUACAUCAGGGUCUUUCACUGUAGACUCUAUGUAUCGUGCGCUCACACAUUCUGAGGUACCAGUGAGUAAUAACAAGAAAAUUUGGAAGUCUAAGAUUCCAUUAAAAGUGAAAAUUUUCAUGUGGUAUCUUCGUAGGGGGUUGUGUUAACCAAAGACAAUCUCGCACGACGCAACUGGCAAGGAAGUAAGAAGUGUUGUUUUUGUACUCAUGAUGAGACAAUCAAACACCUCCUUUUCCAAUGCAAGUUUGCGCGUUCUACGUGGUCAGUCAUCCAAAUAGCGUCAAAUUUGUAUCCGCCCAUAAAUGUUGCCAAUAUUUUUGGUCAUUGGCUGGACGGUAUUUUAAAUAGGUUCAAAACGCUAAUAAGGGUGGGAGCGUAUGCCUUAAUUUGGUCGCUUUGGCUAUGUAGAAAUGAUUUUGUUUUUAAUGGAAGAAAUGCUUCUCCUCUACAGGUUAUUUUCCGCUGUACACAAUUGCUACGUAUGUGGUCUAUGUUACAACGACCGGAGGACCAACCGCUGUUCAAGGCGGUCUGUAUGCGAUUGGAGCAGGUGGCUAUGGAGGUUUUUUCCCCACAUGGGUGGCAACAUAACCUUCGGAUCGAUCCACCACCUCCUUCGACAUAGGCAUAGUGUCGGUCUAUAGGGCUCUACUGUUGCCGAUUUGUCGGUUUUUUUCAUCAAUUUUUUGUCAGACCUUCAUAUUGGGCUGUGUGCAUCCUACUUAUGCAGAGGCCGGGUGUUACUCAUAAUGCUUUGUAUCUGCUUGAUGCUACAUUUGAGAUAAUAAAAUCGCCCUUUAUCGGAAAAAAGCCCACUACGGUUUAUCCACCCAUACACUAACUACCACGACAGUGCAAUUCCCGACAGCGCGUGCAUCUGCAUUCAAUCAGCAACAUGGGACCAUCGCAACAAAGCAAUUCACGAUCAAACCGCGCGAACUCCUCCAGUAGGUUCAACCUUUCCAGAAAAUCAAACGCCGUCGGUACACUCAAACAAACACCUCGCGUGCGAGAUCUAGGAAAUGAACGACAAAAGACCAAGAUGAGCGGCAGUAUGAAGGGGAUACCUUGAUGGUGUGUGCGGGGACAGCGGAUCCAUACAGGGCUCCACCUCCCAUCAGUUCCAUUCACGCUCCAGACACGAAAUAUAACUGCACGAACAGCAAACAGCAAACUGAUUACUAUUACUCCAGACACGAAACCAGCAACGUCUUAACAGUAAGAUCCACGACAAGUAGACAAAGAACUGCUACGUACCAAACUCCAAAUGUUAAUUACCACCAUAAAGGAGUAUACAUAAACAACAUCUAUUUUUCAGAAGGGCUGUUGAUUCUACACCUCAUAGAUGCAAACAACCAACUGAUUACUAGUCCAGAUAAGAAUUUGGUAACUUUUUAAAAGUAACAGAGAGCACGGGAACAGUGUCUGAUGCACCCAUAGCAGGCAUGUAGGUGGAGAUCUGUCACAAAAUCACGUAUGUAAACCCCAGGUAACUAGACGAUGGGACUGAUAUUACAAACAAGUGAAUGGCCGCCACUCAGAACCAUAAAAAAAAUGCCGUUUAUAUUCAUCAGAAUUUUGCUCAGUCUAGAAAGGUGCAAGAUCUAUCUAUCCAUCCAUCCAUAUCGGCGUCCGCUCAAGCGAGACCUCGCGGAUCUCUAGGAGGCGCUGGUUGUCCCAGCACGAGCUACGGCUGGGACGGGAUGAUCUACAUCCAGGCAGAGCGCGCCCGCGUCGGCCCCCGUCCGACGGUCGCUCGCAGGAAACCAAUAGCGAUCGCAUAGAGAGGCGGGGAAUGUUGACGGCGGGCAGGCAGGGUUACCUCAUGGCUCGCCGCGGGGACGGGUCGAUUCACCAGUCGCCGAUUCACCUGCGGAUCUCGACAUCGCUAGCCAGACCCCGCCGCCAGCACCGCAUGUCGCACGAAGAGGACGCCAGCCGUCCGCGUUCGUCCCCGCGCCCUUGGGAGGGUCCGAGGAGAGCUCCGGUUCCGAGGGGUCGGCGGGC